Long non-coding RNA from Serinus canaria (Common canary), 1354 nucleotides. RefSeq lists it as uncharacterized. NCBI's taxonomy places the organism in Eukaryota, Metazoa, Chordata, Aves, Passeriformes, Fringillidae. The record is from RefSeq and is a predicted model, not a curated record. The transcript is spliced from 3 exons.
GCCGCCAGAAGCGCUGAAGCUCCGAGGGCACAGCGCGGGUGGCAGGGAGCGGGUCGGGGCUGCUCGGUGCCCUGCAGGACACGGCAGGACACGGACCAGAGCAGCAACUCGGGGGCCCCUGGAUGUCAUCAUCUCUAUCUAGGAAGAAAGUAAUUGUGUACAUUUUUUAAACAUAAUUGCUUUUGAAAUAAAUACCUCAGAAAAUAUUUGCAGAAUGCUUGAAACCUGGUGUGGAGCAAUGGAACGUUUCAUCGUGGAAGUAACCUGAAGCCUUCCUGUUUUCAGAAGCUGUUUCCAGCCCAGCAGGAAGAACAGAGGUGCCCAGGAGGCAGGGAAGAGUGCACACAACCUGCUGUACUUUCAGUACCAACAUGAAAGGGAUUUUCUGUAAACAAAAGCCACUUCAUUGUUUUUUUCAAACUACUUCUUGAAAGACCCAUUGCUGGAGGCCUUAAAUGAAAAGAAAAGGCAGCUGACAGCCGUGAAGCCAUCCUGUUGGUGAGGCAGGUGCUGGCUGCACCAUGCCCGGUGUCCCCUGGUCCCAGCACCCCUCGUUCCAUCUGUCCCUGUGUCCCUGUGUUCAGGCACAGGGGACGUGUGGCACAGGCACUGGGCAGUGUGGCCGAGGAGGGACGUGAGGGAUGGGGAGGGUCACAGCUCCCUGAGGCCAGGUGACCAUUAAAUACUGGCCAUUAAACAGGAGCAGUGUAGAAGCUAGGUUUCUCAGGACACCAGGAAACCUGCUGGCUGGAUUUGGUCUUCUUGAAAGAGAUUUCUGACUAGUUUGUUCAUGAAACAAGAUGCAGUAGAAUCACAUAGAUUCACUGAGGCUGGAAAAGACCUUUAAGGUGCUCAGGUUCCCGGUGGUGGGGCCAUUACACAGGGUGAGCUACUUCAGUCUGUGGGACAGUGACCAGCCACUUCUUACUCAGGGCUCUACCAAGCCACAGGUCAAUUUUACACUGGUGCAAUUGUUCAGGCCAUCCCCUGCCAUGGGCAAGGCUGGCUCCAGCAGGGCAGCAUCCUGAACAGGGCAGGAAACCCCCUGUCAGCUGAGCUCUGCCUAGGAAGGACAGGAUACAUCGCAGGACACCUUUGACAGCUCUUGUGAUUCCUGUCACAAACACGUUACUUGGCUGCGGGGUUUCUCUGUGCUGCCUUCCCGAUCCUUGGCACUUUGUACACCUGCAUCAAGAUCUUUAUCUUUCAGCAAACAAGCCUGCAGCAAGGGAAUAAAUUCCUGACUAUGACCUUUGGGUGCUCAGAUUUUUUUUCACCUAUGAACAAAACAGUAAAAGGUGGAUUUUUACCCCAAAAUAACUCUUAUCUCUGUUGCUUUAUUAAGCCCUUUUGU